Molecule: non-coding RNA, 50 nt
Organism: Eimeria mitis
Lineage: Eukaryota; Apicomplexa; Conoidasida; Eucoccidiorida; Eimeriidae
Source: Rfam
GCGCGAGGCUCUUAACCUCGUGGUCGCGGGUUCGAGCCCCGUCGUCGGCU